Molecule: ribosomal RNA, 545 nt
Filed under: Salmonella enterica subsp. enterica serovar Curacao
Lineage: Bacteria; Pseudomonadati; Pseudomonadota; Gammaproteobacteria; Enterobacterales; Enterobacteriaceae
Description: bacterial SSU rRNA
Rfam family: Bacterial small subunit ribosomal RNA
Source: RNAcentral
UCAGAGAUGGAUUUGUGCCUUCGGGAACCGUGAGACAGGUGCUGCAUGGCUGUCGUCAGCUCGUGUUGUGAAAUGUUGGGUUAAGUCCCGCAACGAGCGCAACCCUUAUCCUUUGUUGCCAGCGGUCCGGCCGGGAACUCAAAGGAGACUGCCAGUGAUAAACUGGAGGAAGGUGGGGAUGACGUCAAGUCAUCAUGGCCCUUACGACCAGGGCUACACACGUGCUACAAUGGCGCAUACAAAGAGAAGCGACCUCGCGAGAGCAAGCGGACCUCAUAAAGUGCGUCGUAGUCCGGAUUGGAGUCUGCAACUCGACUCCAUGAAGUCGGAAUCGCUAGUAAUCGUGGAUCAGAAUGCCACGGUGAAUACGUUCCCGGGCCUUGUACACACCGCCCGUCACACCAUGGGAGUGGGUUGCAAAAGAAGUAGGUAGCUUAACCUUCGGGAGGGCGCUUACCACUUUGUGAUUCAUGACUGGGGUGAAGUCGUAACAAGGUAACCGUAGGGGAACCUGCGGUUGGAUCACCUCCUUACCUUAAAGAAGC